Molecule: ribosomal RNA, 1060 nt
Filed under: uncultured organism
Description: bacterial SSU rRNA
Rfam family: Bacterial small subunit ribosomal RNA
Source: RNAcentral
CGGGUGAGUAACGCGUAUGCAACCUACCUAUUGCAGGAAGAUAGCCCGAGGAAACUCGGAUUAAUAUUCCAUAAUAUCAUUUUUACACAUGUAUUAAUGAUUAAAGCUACGGCGGCAAUAGAUGGGCAUGCGUACCAUUAGCUAGUUGGUGAGGUAACGGCUCACCAAGGUUACGAUGGUUAGGGGGUCUUAAAGGAUGAUCCCCCACACUGGUACUGAGACACGGACCAGACUCCUACGGGAGGCAGCAGUGAGGAAUAUUGGGCAAUGGACGCAAGUCUGACCCAGCCAUGCCGCGUGCAGGAUGACUGCUCUAGUAGUUGUAAACUGCUUUUCUAUUUCAUGAACCCCUCUGACGUGUCAGGGGCUGACAGUAGAAUAGGAAUAAGCAUCGGCUAACUCCGUGCCAGCAGCCGCGGUAAUACGGAGGAUGCAAGCGUUAUCCGGAUUUACUAGGUUUAAAGGGUGCGUAGGCGGGGUAUCAAGUCAGUGGUGAAAUCCUGCAGCUCAACUGUAGAACUGCCAUUGAAACUGAUAUUCUUGAGUAUAGUUGAGGUAGGCGGAAUGUGUUAAGUAGCGGUGAAAUGCAUAGAGAUAACACAGAACACCGAUUGCGAAGGCAGCUUACUAAACUAUUACUGACGCUGAGGUACGAAAGCGUGGGGAGCGAACAGGAUUAGAUACCCUGGUAGUCCACGCCGUAAACGUUGAUCACUAGUUGUUUGCGAUACAUUGUGAGCGACUGAACAAAAGCAUUAAGUGAUCCACCUGGGGAGUACGUUGGCAACGAUGAAACUCAAAGGAAUUGACGGGGGCCCGCACAAGCGGAGGAACAUGUGGUUUAAUUCGAUGAUACGCGAGGAACCUUACCUGGGCUUAAAUGUAAGACGACUAACAGGGAAACUUGUUAUCUUUCGAGCGUCCUACAAGGUGCUGCAUGGUUGUCGUCAGCUCGUGCCGUGAGGUGUCGGGUUAAGUCCCAUAUCGAGCCCAACCAUUAUGGUUAGUUGCCAGUGGGUAAUGCCGGGGAGUCUAGUGAAACUGCCAUCGUAAGAUGUGA